GAUGAACGCUGGCGGCGUGCCUAAUACAUGCAAGUCGAGCGAACAGACGAGGAGCUUGCUCCUCUGACGUUAGCGGCGGACGGGUGAGUAACACGUGGAUAACCUACCUAUAAGACUGGGAUAACUUCGGGAAACCGGAGCUAAUACCGGAUAAUAUAUUGAACCGCAUGGUUCAAUAGUGAAAGACGGUUUUGCUGUCACUUAUAGAUGGAUCCGCGCCGCAUUAGCUAGUUGGUAAGGUAACGGCUUACCAAGGCGACGAUGCGUAGCCGACCUGAGAGGGUGAUCGGCCACACUGGAACUGAGACACGGUCCAGACUCCUUCGGGAGGCAGCAGUAGGGAAUCUUCCGCAAUGGGCGAAAGCCUGACGGAGCAACGCUGCGUGAGUGAUGAAGGUCUUCGGAUCGUAAAACUCUGUUAUUAGGGAAGAACAAAUGUGUAAGUAACUAUGCACGUCUUGACGGUACCUAAUCAGAAAGCCACGGCUAACUACGUG
RNAcentral lists this ribosomal RNA (497 nucleotides) under uncultured bacterium. RNAcentral describes it as "partial 16S ribosomal RNA". It matches the Rfam family "Bacterial small subunit ribosomal RNA", at positions 28 to 507 of the family's 1533-position model. The record is from RNAcentral.